AUCAUGAGUUCACACGUCCGCAUGAUUAAAGGUAUUUUCCGGUAGACGAUGGGGAUGCGUUCCAUUAGAUAGUAGGCGGGGUAACGGCCCACCUAGUCAACGAUGGAUAGGGGUUCUGAGAGGAAGGUCCCCCACAUUGGAACUGAGACACGGUCCAAACUCCUACGGGAGGCAGCAGUGAGGAAUAUUGGUCAAUGGGCGAUGGCCUGAACCAGCCAAGUAGCGUGAAGGAUGACUGCCCUAUGGGUUGUAAACUUCUUUUAUAAAGGAAUAAAGUCGGGUAUGCAUACCCGUUUGCAUGUACUUUAUGAAUAAGGAUCGGCUAACUCCGUGCCAGCAGCCGCGGUAAUACGGAGGAUCCGAGCGUUAUCCGGAUUUAUUGGGUUUAAAGGGAGCGUAGAUGGAUGUUUAAGUCAGUUGUGAAAGUUUGCGGCUCAACCGUAAAAUUGCAGUUGAUACUGGAUGUCUUGAGUGCAGUUGAGGCAGGCGGAAUUCGUGGUGUAGCGGUGAAAUGCUUAGAUAUCACGAAGAACUCCGAUUGCGAAGGCAGCCUGCUAAGCUGCAACUGACAUUGAGGCUCGAAAGUGUGGGUAUCAAACAGGAUUAGAUACCCUGGUAGUCCACA
RNAcentral lists this ribosomal RNA (625 nucleotides) under uncultured bacterium. RNAcentral's name for it is "bacterial SSU rRNA". It matches the Rfam family "Bacterial small subunit ribosomal RNA", at positions 173 to 799 of the family's 1533-position model. The record is from RNAcentral.